This 92-nucleotide microRNA precursor is filed under the name Otolemur garnettii (small-eared galago). Its description in RNAcentral is "miRNA (ENSOGAG00000025023.1)". The record is from RNAcentral. Lineage: Eukaryota; Metazoa; Chordata; Mammalia; Primates; Galagidae.
CCAGGUGAGGGUCCACAUAUCUCGCUGGGGCCUCCAGAAAAUGUAAUCCUGGCAGCUGAGAGAAGGAUGGACCCCACUUCAGAUAUAAUUAA